GGCCGGUUAGCUUAAUGGCAAAGCAGCGUUCUGACUAGCUACUGCAGUUCAGCGAAGCGGGGGAUCCGGGUUCGAGUCCCGGGCCGGUCA
This is a non-coding RNA of Xylaria cubensis, 90 nucleotides long. The record is from the annotation of a GenBank genome assembly. NCBI's taxonomy places the organism in Eukaryota, Fungi, Ascomycota, Sordariomycetes, Xylariales, Xylariaceae.